This 496-nucleotide ribosomal RNA is filed under the name uncultured bacterium. RNAcentral's name for it is "partial 16S ribosomal RNA". It matches the Rfam family "Bacterial small subunit ribosomal RNA", at positions 28 to 506 of the family's 1533-position model. The record is from RNAcentral.
GAUGAACGCUGGCGGCGUGCCUAAUACAUGCAAGUCGAGCGAACAGACGAGGAGCUUGCUCCUCUGACGUUAGCGGCGGACGGGUGAGUAACACGUGGAUAACCUACCUAUAAGACUGGGAUAACUUCGGGAAACCGGAGCUAAUACCGGAUAAUAUAUUGAACCGCAUGGUUCAAUAGUGAAAGACGGUUUUGCUGUCACUUAUAGAUGGAUCCGCGCCGCAUUAGCUAGUUGGUAAGGUAACAGCUUACCAAGGCAACGAUGCGUAGCCGACCUGAGAGGGUAAUCGCCCAACUUGGAACUGAGACCCGGCCCAAACCCCCACGGGGGGCAGCAGAGGGAAAUUUUCCGCAGUGGGCGAAGCCCUGCGGGGCAAACCCCGGUGGGUUAAGGAGGUUCUUCGGUCCUAAAACCCCUUUUAUUAGGGAAAAACAAAUGUUUAAUUACCUAGCCCCGUCUUGACGGUACCUAUCCGAAAAGCCCCGGCUAACUACUU